CCUACGGGAGGCAGCAGUGAGGAAUAUUGGUCAAUGGGCGAGAGCCUGAACCAGCCAAGUCGCGUGAGGGAAGACGGUCCUACGGAUUGUAAACCUCUUUUGUCAGGAAGCAAGGAGCGCCACGAGUGGAUCGGCGAGAGUACCUGAAGAAAAAGCAUCGGCUAACUCCGUGCCAGCAGCCGCGGUAAUACGGAGGAUGCGAGCGUUAUCCGGAUUUAUUGGGUUUAAAGGGAGCGUAGGUGGAUUGUUAAGUCAGUUGUGAAAGUUUGCGGCUCAACCGUAAAAUUGCAGUUGAAACUGGCAGUCUUGAGUACAGUAGAGGUGGGCGGAAUUCGUGGUGUAGCGGUGAAAUGCUUAGAUAUCACGAAGAACUCCGAUUGCGAAGGCAGCUCACUGGACUGCAACUGACACUGAUGCUCGAAAGUGUGGGUAUCAAACAGGAUUAGAUACCCUGGUAGUC
Molecule: ribosomal RNA, 460 nt
Filed under: uncultured bacterium
Lineage: Bacteria
Description: partial 16S ribosomal RNA
Rfam family: Bacterial small subunit ribosomal RNA
Source: RNAcentral